UGAAGAAGGCGGCUGUGCACUAUGAUC
RNAcentral lists this non-coding RNA (27 nucleotides) under Homo sapiens (human). The record is from RNAcentral. Lineage: Eukaryota; Metazoa; Chordata; Mammalia; Primates; Hominidae.